This 299-nucleotide long non-coding RNA is filed under the name Rosa chinensis. Its description in RNAcentral is "sRNA RchiOBHm_Chr6g0297071". Lineage: Eukaryota; Viridiplantae; Streptophyta; Magnoliopsida; Rosales; Rosaceae. The record is from RNAcentral.
CUCCCAUCUCCUCCGCUUCUCGCCGGCCUCCUUUUCCUACCUUUGCCUGAAUGCUGACGCCGGACGUAAAUAUCGGACUGAUUCCGAUGCUGUUGGAACCGGUGAGCUGCCCAAUACUUCUUUUCCCCUGGUUUUCACGUCCCUAUUGGACGGCCUUUUAGUCACCGGCAGGUUUGGAAUUCCGGUAAGGUCGGGAAAAAGCGGAUGGUGAGAAGGGAAGAACAUGAAUAUCGGUAACGUCGGUGAGCUUACCGAUAUAUAUAUUUUCACGUCCCCAUUGGUCGGCCUUUUAGUCACCG